GUGCUCAAUUCGGCACACAUUUACUAAAAUUGGAAUGACACAGAGAAGAUUAGCAUGGUCUCUGCACAAGGAUGACACGCAAAUUCAUGAAGGGUUCCGUAUUUUU
This 106-nucleotide small nuclear RNA is filed under the name Cavia aperea (Brazilian guinea pig). Lineage: Eukaryota; Metazoa; Chordata; Mammalia; Rodentia; Caviidae. The record is from RNAcentral.